RNAcentral lists this long non-coding RNA (298 nucleotides) under Chrysolophus pictus (golden pheasant). RNAcentral's name for it is "lncRNA (ENSCPIG00010009316.1)". The record is from RNAcentral. Lineage: Eukaryota; Metazoa; Chordata; Aves; Galliformes; Phasianidae.
AUACUUCUGCAUGCUUUACAGUUUCCUACUAUGCUACAAUGAUUUUUUUUUUUUUUAAUUGAAGAAAGUGCAGGAUUGAAACUAUAGAUAUGUGCCUUUUAGUGGCGCGCAUAUACAGUUAUUUAUGCUACAUUUGUAAUUUAUAGUGUUGUCAGGCACGCCGGUUCAAAGUUGCAUUUUAAAAAAGGAUUUUUUAAAUAGACAGAUAUUAACCAUGGCCCACCAGAGAUGAAAAAGCUUCUCCAUCCAGGGACAAUGACACCUGAACCAACUCGCCGUUUCAGAGGAUCUGGCCAUA